AUUGAACGCUGGCGGAAUGCUUUACACAUGCAAGUCGAGCGGCAGCGCGGGGGCAACCCUGGCGGCGAGCGGCGAACGGGUGAGUAAUAUAUCGGAACGUACCCCGUCGUGGGGGAUAACACAGCGAAAGCUGUGCUAAUACCGCAUACGACCUGAGGGUGAAAGCGGGGGAUCGCAAGACCUCGCGCGAUGGGAGCGGCCGAUAUCGGAUUAGCUUGUUGGUGAGGUAAAGGCUCACCAAGGCGACGAUCCGUAGCUGGUCUGAGAGGACGACCAGCCACACUGGAACUGAGACACGGUCCAGACUCCUACGGGAGGCAGCAGUGGGGAAUUUUGGACAAUGGGCGCAAGCCUGAUCCAGCCAUGCCGCGUGAGUGAAGAAGGGCCUUCGGGUUGGUUAAAGGACUCUUUCGGUUGGGGAAGGAAAUUAGCUUCGGCGUAAUACCUGGAGUAGAGUGACGGUACCCGCACUAAGAAGACACCGGCUAACUACGUAGCC
Molecule: ribosomal RNA, 499 nt
Filed under: uncultured bacterium
Lineage: Bacteria
Description: bacterial SSU rRNA
Rfam family: Bacterial small subunit ribosomal RNA
Source: RNAcentral